AGGACGAACGCUGGCGGCGUGCCUAAUACAUGCAAGUCGAGCGGUAAGGCCUCUUCGGAGGUACACGAGCGGCGGACGGCUGAGUAACACGUAGGAACGUACCCCAAAGUGAGGGAUAAGCACCAGAAAAUGGUGUCUAAUACCGCAUGUGCUCUAAGGAGUAAAGCUUCGGCGCUUUGGGAACGGCCUGCGCAUGAUUAGCUUGUUGGUGAGGUAAAAGCUCACCAAGGCGACGAUCAUUAGCUGGUCUGAGAGGAUGAUCAGCCAGACUGGGACUGAGAACGGCCCAGACUCCUACGGGAGGCAGCAGUAGGGAAUUUUCCACAAUGGGCGAAAGCCUGAUGGAGCAACGCCGCGUGCAGGAUGAAUGCCUUAGGGUUGUAAACUGCUUUUAUCUGUGACGAAUAUGACGGUAGCAGAUAGAAUAAGGAUCGGCUAACUCGUGCCAGCAGCCGACGGUAAUCGUGAGGCGGCGUGGACG
Molecule: ribosomal RNA, 481 nt
Filed under: uncultured bacterium
Lineage: Bacteria
Description: SSU rRNA
Rfam family: Bacterial small subunit ribosomal RNA
Source: RNAcentral